This 399-nucleotide transfer-messenger RNA is filed under the name human gut metagenome. It matches the Rfam family "transfer-messenger RNA". Rfam says of the family: Bacterial tmRNA, also known as 10Sa RNA or SsrA, is named for its dual tRNA and mRNA-like properties. Its role is to liberate the mRNA from a stalled ribosome. The record is from RNAcentral.
GGGGAUGACCGGUUUUGACAGCGCGUAGAGGUGGUGUGUAAGCAUGCAGAGCAAUGAUGCCUACGCUCUAUAAUAUGAGACAUCGCAAUUUUAAAUGGCGAAAACAACUACGCUCUUGCUGCCUAAUCGAAGUACAGUAGAUUACGCUUAAUCUCCGCAACAGUUGCAGAGACAAGACAUCGCCCGAUUGUCACAGUCCCGAGACUAAUCGACCAGGCGGUGCAGGUAAAUCGGGAAUAGGAGGCCGGAAGUCGCGAGAAGCCUCCGGAAAUUCAGCGAAUAAGGACGACAUUGGUGGUCAGGAGCCUGUGGCGUCACGAAAAUCAAGUCUUGACUAAGCAUGUAGAAAGCGCAUUAGUUCCGCGUUUGGACGAGGGUUCAAGUCCCUCCAUCUCCACU